GCAGCCGCCGCGGGAAAACAGAGGGUGCAAGCGUUAAUCGGAAUUACUGGGCGUAAAGCGCGCGUAGGUGGUUUGUUAAGUUGGAUGUGAAAGCCCCGGGCUCAACCUGGGAACUGCAUCCAAAACUGGCAAGCUAGAGUACGGUAGAGGGUGGUGGAAUUUCCUGUGUAGCGGUGAAAUGCGUAGAUAUAGGAAGGAACACCAGUGGCGAAGGCGACCACCUGGACUGAUACUGACACUGAGGUGCGAAAGCGUGGGGAGCAAACAGGAUUAGAUACCCGAGUAGUCCCUGUCUCUUAUAC
RNAcentral lists this ribosomal RNA (302 nucleotides) under uncultured bacterium. Its description in RNAcentral is "partial 16S ribosomal RNA". It matches the Rfam family "Bacterial small subunit ribosomal RNA", at positions 508 to 807 of the family's 1533-position model. The record is from RNAcentral.